Equus caballus (horse) is the source of this 573-nucleotide non-coding RNA. NCBI's taxonomy places the organism in Eukaryota, Metazoa, Chordata, Mammalia, Perissodactyla, Equidae. The record is from RefSeq and is a predicted model, not a curated record.
UUGAUAGCUGUCACAGGUAUAACAUUCACUUUAUCCAACUGAAGAAUUCCUCUGAAAUAGAAAAAUUCCAAUGAAACAUUUGCACUGUCUGUAGUUUGGGAGGAAGACAGGGAUACUUCAUGGUUGUAGUGUUUUCUUCUGGCCUAGAUAAGGGCACCAGGAAAGUUACUGGCACACUGAGAGUGCUGUGAACCGCAACAGUGUGGGGGCCUCCGUCAGAAGUGAGCGAAGCAGCCUGUGGGACAGGUGAGAGUCGAGGGCGAGCACUAUAGUUACCAGUAUACAUUUCUGUCAAUACACAGCAUUUGGAUGAAGAUGCCACCCAACAGUUAACACUGAGGACCUCCAGGAACAUAAACUGAACGGGGAAGUGACAGCUGCUUUAACUGCUCUCUGCGUGUCUGCACUGAUGGAAUCUCUGACUACCAGAGAGCAUCCUCAGUACAGCUGCCAUUGAUAAAGUACAUUGCAAAUCUGGUUUUUAAUUUGGUUUUUACACUGCAUCUUUUCCCACAGAGGAACCCAUAACAAAUAAAAACAUUUGGUAAAAGAAAAAUAAAAAAGUUUAUAACA